Molecule: long non-coding RNA, 258 nt
Filed under: Pan troglodytes (chimpanzee)
Lineage: Eukaryota; Metazoa; Chordata; Mammalia; Primates; Hominidae
Description: long non-coding RNA NONPTRT004012
Source: RNAcentral
CAGUAUGCAGCCACAGUUAAGAAGCAAUACCAUAGAGCAUGAAAAUUGAAGGUAUGGAUAUGAAUGAGAUCAGCAGGUGGUGGAGUAUGUAAAUACACACUGUAGAAUCGUGAAUCAGCGAAGUAGACAAACAGGAGACCACAGAGAGGUAGGAAAAACUGAUAUCAUAUUAUAAUUAAUUGAGAGAAUGAGUGUUGAAAAAGGGGAGCUAGUUUGUGCGAACUAGUUUUUGGAAAAGAAGUGGUCUGGGGGCUGAGG